This 252-nucleotide ribosomal RNA is filed under the name uncultured bacterium. RNAcentral's name for it is "partial 16S ribosomal RNA". It matches the Rfam family "Bacterial small subunit ribosomal RNA", at positions 524 to 775 of the family's 1533-position model. The record is from RNAcentral.
UACGGAGGGUGCGAGCGUUGUCCGGAAUCACUGGGCGUAAGGGCGCGUAGGUGGCCUGUGGAAGUCUGCGGUGAAAGCCCGGCGCUCAACGCCGGGUCGGCCGUGGAUACUCUCGGGCUCGAGCUUACUAGAGGCAGAUGGAAUUCCGGGUGUAGCGGUGGAAUGCGUAGAGAUCCGGAGGAACACCAAUUGCGAAGGCAGCUCGCUGGGACGUUACUGACGCUGAGACGCGAAAGCGUGGGGAGCAACAGG